AUGCGUACUCGUUGGGUUCCACCAUAUUAUCAACGUGAAUUGCUUCAAAAAUCACAGCGCUUAAGACAAGGAAAAAAUUCUAUAGAAGAAUAUUAUCAGGAAUUACAAACUGGCAUGAUUAGAUGUGGUAUUGUUGAGGAGAAUGAAGCUAUGCUUGCACGUUUUCUGGGUGGAUUAAAUAGAGAGAUUCAGACCAUUCUAGACUAUAAGGAGUAUACUACUAUCACUCGUUUAUUCCAUCUUGCUUGUAAAGCUGAACGUGAAGUGCAGGAUCGACAAGCAUUGGCGCGAACUAACUUUUCUGCAGGCCGACCGUCAUCAUGGACAACGCGUGUAUCUUCUACUUCAACUGCACCAGCACCUCAAUUAGGUGCCUCCUCCAGUCGUGAUACAAGAAAACAGGCACAACCACCAUUAUCUGCCAAGAGCGCACCUGCUGGGCCUGCACGGAGUUCUUCUUCUUCCAUGGCAUCAACAGGGCACACAAGUGAUAUUAUUUGUCGUCGUUGUAAGGGAGGAGGUCAUUAUGCGAGAGAAUGCAAAUCUCCGCGUGUGAUGAUUGCUACCGCGGAUGGUGGAUAUGAGUCUGCUAGUGACUAUGAUGAGGAGACUUUGGCUCUUAUUACACGUGAAGAACAUGGUGGAGAUGAUUCUGAUCAUGAGACGCAAUACAUGGCUCCUGAAGACGCUGACAGGUAUGAAUGUUUAGUUGCUCAACGUGUUUUGAGUGUGCAGAUCACACAAGCUGAGCAAAAUCAGAGGCACAAUUUGUUCCAUACCAAGGGAGUUGUGAAGGAACGUUCUGUGCGCGUCAUCAUAGACGGAGGGAGCUGCAACAACUUGGCUAGCAUGGAGAUGGUGGAGAAGCUUUCUCUCACCACAAGACCACAUCCACAUCCUUACUACAUCCAAUGGUUCAACAACAGCGGCAAGGUUAAGGUAACACGUACCGUUCGUGUGCAUUUUAGUAUCUCUACAUAUGCUGAUUAUGUUGAUUGUGAUGUGGUACCUAUGCAAGCAUGUUCCUUAUUACUUGGUAGACCAUGGCAAUUUGAUAAAAAUUCUGUACACCAUGGUAGAAACAAUCACUAUACUCUUGUUCAUAAGGAUAAAAAUAUUACUUUGCUUCCUAUGACUCCUGAUUCCAUUUUGAAAGAUGAUAUUAAUAGAGCUAAUAAAGCAAAACAAGAGACGAAUAAGAGUGAAAAUCAGAUUGUGGCAAAAGAAUUUGAGCAACAAAUGAAGCCUAAUAAUAAACCAUCUAGUGUUGCUUCUGAAAUUAAAUUGAAAAGUGCAUGUUUAUUUGCCACCAAAUCUGAUAUUGAUGAGCUAGAUUUCAGCAAAUCUGUUUGCUAUGCUUUUGUGUGCAAAGAGGCAUUAUUUUCAUUCGAGGACGUGCCUUCCUCUUUGCCUCCUGCUGUCACUAACAUUUUGCAGGAGUUCGCUGACGUUUUUCCACAAGACGUGCCACCGGGAUUACCGCCUAUUCGAGGGAUUGAGCAUCAGAUUGACUUAAUUCCCGGUGCUUCACUGCCAAACCAUGCACCAUACCGUACCAAUCCAGAGGAGACGAAGGAGAUUAUGCGUCAAGUACAAGGGCUUCUCGACAAAGGUUAUAUACGCGAAUCCCUUAGUCCUUGUGCUGUUCCUAUUAUUCUAGUGCCGAAAAAGGAUGGUACAUCACGUAUGUGUGUUGAUUGUAGAGGCAUUAAUAAUAUUACUAUUCGUUAUCGUCAUCCUAUUCCUAGGCUAGAUGAUAUGCUUGAUGAAUUGAGUGGCUCUACAAUAUUCUCCAAAGUUGAUUUGCGUAGUGGCUACCAUCAAAUUCGUAUGAAAUUGGGAGAUGAAUGGAAAACAGCUUUUAAAACUAAGUUUGGAUUAUAUGAGUGGUUAGUCAUGCCUUUUGGGUUAACUAAUGCACCUAGUACUUUCAUGAGAUUAAUGAACGAAGUUUUACGUGCUUUCAUUGGACGAUUUGUGGUAGUUUACUUUGAUGACAUAUUGAUUUAUAGCAGAUCUUUGGAGGAACAUUUGGAACAUUUACGUGCUAUUUUUAUUGCUCUACGUGAUGCACGUUUGUUUGGUAACCUUGGGAAGUGCACCUUUUGCACCGACCGAGUAUCUUUUCUUGGCUAUGUUGUUACUCCACAGGGAAUUGAAGUUGAUAAAGCCAAGAUUGAAGCUAUUGAGAGUUGGCCGCAGCCCAAAACGGUCACACAAGUGAGGAGUUUUCUUGGCCUCGCUGGAUUCUAUAGGCGUUUUGUGAGAGAUUUCAGCACCAUUGCUGCACCUCUCAAUGAGCUUACAAAGAAAGAUGUGCCUUUUCUUUGGGGUACCGCACAGGAAGAAGCCUUCACGGUAUUGAAAGCUAGCUCCGUUCGUCUUUUGAUGUUGCAGGAGGCGCAUGGAGGAGGAUUAAUGAGACACUUUGGCAUGAAGAAGACGGAGGACGUACUUGCUACACAUUUCUUUUGGCCAAAGAUGAGACAGGAUGUUGAGCGUUUUAUUGCUCGAUGCACUACAUGUCAAAAAGCUAAGUCACGACUCAAUCCUCAUGGUUUAUAUAUGCCUUUGCCUGUACCUAGUGUUCCUUGGGAGGAUAUAUCUAUGGACUUUGUUUUAGGUUUACCUCGAACAAAGAAGGGGAGGGAUAGCAUAUUUGUUGUCGUGGAUAGAUUCUCGAAAAUGGCACACUUUAUACCAUGUCAUAAAAGCGAUGAUGCUGUUAAUGUUGCUGAUUUGUUCUUUCGUGAAAUUAUUCGCUUGCAUGGUGUGCCAAAUACUAUUGUUUCAGAUCGUGAUACUAAAUUUCUUAGCCACUUUUGGAGAUUUUAUGGGCUAAGUUGGGGACUAAACUGCUUUUUAGUACUACUUGUCACCCCCAAACUGAUGGACAAACUGAAGUAG
RNAcentral lists this ribosomal RNA (2907 nucleotides) under Triticum aestivum (bread wheat). RNAcentral describes it as "partial small subunit ribosomal RNA". The record is from RNAcentral. Lineage: Eukaryota; Viridiplantae; Streptophyta; Magnoliopsida; Poales; Poaceae.